This 500-nucleotide ribosomal RNA is filed under the name uncultured bacterium. Its description in RNAcentral is "partial 16S ribosomal RNA". It matches the Rfam family "Bacterial small subunit ribosomal RNA", at positions 30 to 523 of the family's 1533-position model. The record is from RNAcentral.
AUUGAACGCUGGCGGCAGGCCUAACACAUGCAAGUCGAGCGGAUGACGGGAGCUUGCUCCUUGAUUCAGCGGCGGACGGGUGAGUAAUGCCUAGGAAUCUGCCUGGUAGUGGGGGACAACGUUUCGAAAGGAACGCUAAUACCGCAUACGUCCUACGGGAGAAAGCAGGGGACCUUCGGGCCUUGCGCUAUCAGCCGAGCCUAGGUCGGAUUAGCUAGUUGGUGGGGUAAUGGCUCACCAAGGCGACGAUCCGUAACUGGUCUGAGAGGAUGAUCAGUCACACUGGAACUGAGACACGGUCCAGACUCCUACGGGAGGCAGCAGUGGGGAAUAUUGGACAAUGGGCGAAAGCCUGAUCCAGCCAUGCCGCGUGUGUGAAGAAGGUCUUCGGAUUGUAAAGCACUUUAAGUUGGGAGGAAGGGCAGUAAGCUAAUACCUUGCUGUUUUGACGUUACCGACAGAAUAAGCACCGGCUAACUCUGUGCCAGCCGCCGCGGUAA